Long non-coding RNA from Ornithorhynchus anatinus (platypus), 393 nucleotides. RefSeq lists it as uncharacterized. The record is from RefSeq and is a predicted model, not a curated record. NCBI's taxonomy places the organism in Eukaryota, Metazoa, Chordata, Mammalia, Monotremata, Ornithorhynchidae. The transcript has 3 exons.
CCCUCCCUCGCCGCUGGCCCUCUCCCGCUCCGGCUGCCUCGAAUGCAGGAAAUGCGCAAAAAGACGUCAGGACUUGGCAGAGUAGAAACAUGCAUUCCUCCUUGGAGACUUUGGAGAGGCCAAGUUUGAGCUUUGGAAACAAAACCAUUUCUGAAUCGAGUGAAAGAAAAAAAAAAAAGCUCAAACUUAACUUGAAAAAGUUCAUAAGCAGCUGAACAGUUUUACUUCAGAUUCCUGAAAGGAAUGCCGUGGAUCGAUUUUCCCUGCCGACCCCCAGAAGAACGGAUCGACUGAUCGAACAGUCAGCCCAGCAGCGUGGUGGUGUGGUUAGAGCACGGACUUGGGAGUCAGAAGGUCGUGGGUUCUAUUCCCGACCUGCCACUUGUCUGCUGU